AGCUUGAGAAGAAGCUCAGAGUCCUCCUUGGUGGAUAUAAUGCAAGGGCUCAGGCACUCUCCAAGCAAUUGCAGGACACUCAUGAACAGGUGGAGCAGACUCUUGUGGAGCUAAACACUUUUAAAGAGCUCCAGGCACUAGAGAGAGUAGCCAUUAGAUCACGUGUUGAGUCACUCAAAGAUGAAGUGUACAAGAAAACUGAGAGGGAGAACACUCUACAGUCUCAGUACAUUUCACUGGUACAAGAAAGAAAUGAGCUGCUAAGAGAAGAGUCCAAAAACAGCGAGACAGUAUAACAAUGUUCAUGUUGUAAUCACUGUUAACUGAUUUUCUUUUGAUAUGUCACGUUAUGAGAAAAACACUAGUUAAUUGAUGAA
Molecule: long non-coding RNA, 377 nt
Organism: Amphimedon queenslandica
Lineage: Eukaryota; Metazoa; Porifera; Demospongiae; Haplosclerida; Niphatidae
Exons: 3
Source: RefSeq, a predicted model, not a curated record